AUUAAUCGGGUCCAUCGGUGAAGGAAUCGCUUCAGAACCAUCUGUGAAACCAUCGCUUCAGGGUUCACUCACCCAUCGCACGUCCUCGUCCAGUUCGACGAGCACUCCAACAACUCGUUUAACCCAACAACGACGCCAGCUCCUUCAAAUUUCUACUGCUGGUGCGGGGAUAAUUCUUGAAGUCAAUGGAAGGGAUAACGGAAUGGUGCUGAUUCAUGGAGGUUUUAAAUCGAUGAGAUGAGAACUAGACUAGCAAGGGAUUUUUUUUUGAUAACCGGAUCUCUGGGCCAGUUUGUGCUUAUCUCGACUAAUUGUAGAGUCCUAAAGUUAAAGCCCAGGUAAACCCUACUGUGACCCCAAGCUAGACUAGCAAGGGACUCGCCGCCGCUAUACUGGCACCAAGUUCACGCCGAGGUAUCUAGACUUGUGUUUCGUACUUACUUCCAAAAAAAUGUGUUUAGGGUAUUUCAGUAUUUUAGUUCUUGAUUUGUAAUUGACUCAUGAUUUGAAUUUCAAAAGUAGGGUUUUGAGACUUUGUUUCUGAGGCUUUUUGGGCUUUUUUGUUUGUUUUUGGUUCUGAGUAUUUUAUUUGGUGACAAAUUGCAAUCCUAAUGUAGGGCUACAGACUUUCUUUGUGCGGAUAUUUUGGUUUAAUUGAUUAUGUUUCUUCAGAAAAUCAAACAGAGUAUGAACUAAAUUUUCUCUUCUACUAUUGUUCCUUGGUAUUAUGUUGGGUAAACAUUGGAGAAGAUGGUGGGUGUUGGUUCUUGUUUAUUUUUUAUGAAAUCCACCAGCAACAAACCUAUCAGCAGGGUCGGCCCAGGCACAAGGCCCAAGACGCUUGGGCCUUGGGCAUUUCAAAAAUUCCAAAUUUUAGGGACACUCUAAUAUUUUUACUAUUUGAAUUUGGAUAGAACUUUUUUUAAGCCCAAUAGAAUGAAAAAAAUGCCCAAUUGAUACUUUUGCUUCUAGAAAUGCACCACGAGUAUAUUCAAGUGAUACUCAUGCGUUUUUGAGAUAAUAUGUAGCCUAUUUGGAGACUUUGUAUUUUGUGUUCGUAUGUAAUAGUUAGUAAAACUUUAUAUUGGUUUGGCUUUCUUGUAUUGUGAUUGUUGUUGUAAAAAUUGUUAACUAUUAACUCUUUAAGGACACAUUUUUUUAUUAGGCCUUAGGCACUUAAAACCCUUGGGCCGACCCUGCCAAAGAUGACUAAGAAGAUCGUUGUUUAGUGGUCUACCUUGAUGUUGGAACACCCUAUUAGACUAUCAUGAUAACCUAAACUAUAUAGCUAGAAGAGGGUUUGUAUUUCUUGACGAACAUCGAAUUUGAUGUUGAUUUUGUGACCUAAGUCUAUCUCUCACUCUCCACCACCGUUUAAGAUUUCUCUUUUAUCUCCCAAAACCACCAUCCCCACCACCUUCUGCACCACUUAGAGCAUUUCCAAUCCUUACCAAUUUUACUAUCCAUACCCAAAAUUUGAGUAAAAAACCUAAAAACUCAUCUCCAAUCUCAUACCCAUUUGCCUACCCAUUUUGAGUUUUACUCAUUUUCUUACCCAAAUUUAGGGAGACUUAAACUCAUACCCAUUUUUUUCAAAUCUUCUUUUCACUCUCAUUAAUUACAAGUGUGCCACUCACUAAUUACAAGUAUGCCAUUACAUAAUAGAUUUGCAUAAAAAUAUGGGUUUAGCAUUGUUGAUACCUUACCCAAAUCAAGUGUCUAAGAGCAUCUUUAGUCCUCACCAAUAUUUUUUCUCAAAUUUGAGUCAAAUUUUGGGUAAAAAUCUAUUUUGGAUAGACACAUCUCCAACCAUCAAAUUCAAAUUUUACACAUCUCCCUCUUUCUCUCUCUCUUUAACUAGCCAUUGUAGAAAUGGGUCAAGGCAAAAGUUGUCUUAGAUUUGGGCAAAAAAAUGGGUAAAAUCCAAAAUGGGGAAGGAUUUGGGUCAAAGAUUGGAAAGAGAUUAUUGUGAUUUUUGUACCAUUUUUAAAUUUAAGUAUUAAAAUGGGUCAAGGCUGGAGAUGCUCUAACCUAAAUCUCUGCCCACAAAUUUUACACAUCUCCCUCUUUCUCUCUCUCUUUAACUAGCCAUUGUAGAAAUGGGUCAAGGCAAAAGUUGUCUUAGAUUUGGGCAAAAAAAUGGGUAAAAUCCAAAAUGGGGAAGGAUUUGGGUCAAAGAUUGGAAAAAAAUUAUUGUGAUUUUUGUACCAUUUUUAAAUUUAAGUAUUAAAAUGGGUCAAGGCUGGAGAUGCUUUAACCUAAAUCUCUGCCCACAUUUGGGUGAAAAAAUGGGUAAGGAUUGGAAAUGAUCUUACCGCCCCCACUCAUUUGCCUCCACCCCACUCCCGACCAUCGGCACCACCCAGUGCCACCUCUGGGCUACUUCUUUCGUGCUCCAAAUCCUCUCAUCUGUUUCUCUCUUCUUCUGUCUCUCAUCUUCAGAUCUGCGUCUCUUCCCACUCCUCUACCUUGCUCGUGACAGUUUAUUGCCCGAUCCAAUAAUCCCAGGGGUUUACGCCGGUGGACGGCGGCAAAGCGCUCAUGCCACAUUCUACGCAGGCAGUAACCACUGGUAGACUGGGGAGGUAUUAUUUGGCCUCAACUAAUUCUAACCUAAUUUGUUUGUAAUCUCAACUACUUGUGAAGCCCUUGUGCCUCGUUGAGAUGUGUGGUUCAAUCAUGCUUGUAAAGUGCAGUUUAGUAAAGUUUUUCCAAGAUUGAAAAUUUUCAAAUAGUGUACUGGUUUGGGCUAGGGGUACUUUGUUUAACCAACAUUUGCAUCUUAUACUUGAAAAUUUAACAAAUGGAGAACAAUUUGGUUUUUACUGACUCAAGAAGAUGAAUGGCCUGUUGCAAAAUCCCUGAAUUAUCCUAGGAAAUAUCUCUAAUUGGUUGCACUUUUCCUCUAUUUAUCAUUUCAGGAUAGGAAGUAUUCUCGAUGUUCCCUGCCAACUCUGAUCAUAAUUUGUUUGUGGUUUUCUCUGUAUUGGGUUGAUUUCUUUUUUGGUUAUACUUGUGCAAUCAAUAUACUCGUGAAUAUUAGGUGACUAGGUAUGAUUGAGUAUUUGAGUUAACCAGCUUGCUCAUGUUCCAUAGAGCUUGUUCUUGGUCUUGACAGAUGAGAUCUCCAGCCCUCUAGUCUGCUUUAGGUAGGAAGGCAGUUGGGCGCAGUAUUAAUACUGGAAAUUAUGGAAGGAUUUGGUAUUGAUGGAUCAAAAGAAAGAAGGAUUUGGUGUCGGCCGAUAAUAUAUCCAAGGAGUAACUUACAUGAAGUUGCUUUUUGGCAGCCCAAAGGUACAAUGGCAAACAACUUUCCAUGGCAUGAAACAUGGUACUAAAGCUGUUGUUGCAUUUCUUUCUCCAGAUUUUGUUUUCUUUUCGAGUUUGAUCUCGUGCAUGUGAUGCUGAAUGGGAUAACUUCCCAUUAGGUGGCACGUUGAAUCAUCUGCUAGAAUCUUAUGUGCAAUAUUUUUACAUCAUUAGCAUAAAUUGGACUACCGAUGGAGUAGUAUUGAAUGGCUAUGUCCAACCUUAUCAAACGCAGUCUAGAACUAAAAAUCCCCAAGCUGCUCGAGGCUGUAGUGAAACAAAUCAUCGGGACCAAGCCAAUUUUGAAAUUCUACAACUCCUCUCCCUAAUAUACAUGGAGUUCAAGAUGUGUUUGAGGGCGCCCGACAUGAUUUUUUGUAUGUUUAAUUGAAUAUAUUACCUCAAUGUGACAAUUUGUCAAUUUGGAUUGUGUUGCAUUUUGCUGCCGUGUCAUUGUAAAUGUUCCAGGUCAGACUUGCUCUCAGAAUCUCAGUGAAUCUAAUACACCAUUGAAACACAAACACAAGCUAUUCCAGAUGCUAGAACAUAUCUGUUGACAUUGAAGGAGAUAGUCAGGGAGAUACCGUCAGUGCAGUUGAUUGUCUCUGACAGAAGAAGAAAGCUGAACUUCCUCAGUAGAGAAGCUGGGAGAUGAGGGCUAUAGUUGGCGCUUUGCCAAUUGAGAAAAUUUUCUUGCUUUAUUACUCCAGUAGAGACUCAAGUCUUCUGAUGAAAUGGCUUGUGUGCGUUUUCCUUUAUAUGUUUUUGACACAUUCGACAUCUCCUGUCAUGCACCACUACAUUGCUUUUGUUUUAACUAUAAACUUCUUCAGACAGUUUAAUGAACAUUGCGCAAAUGGAACUAA
Long non-coding RNA from Rhododendron vialii, 4175 nucleotides. RefSeq lists it as uncharacterized. The record is from RefSeq and is a predicted model, not a curated record. The transcript is spliced from 4 exons. Lineage: Eukaryota; Viridiplantae; Streptophyta; Magnoliopsida; Ericales; Ericaceae.